GACGAACGCUGGCGGCGUGCCUAAUACAUGCAAGUAGAACGCUGAAGGAGGAGCUUGCUUCUCUGGAUGAGUUGCGAACGGGUGAGUAACGCGUAGGUAACCUGCCUGGUAGCGGGGGAUAACUAUUGGAAACGAUAGCUAAUACCGCAUAAUAGUAGAUGUUGCAUGACAUUUGCUUAAAAGGUGCAAUUGCAUCACUACCAGAUGGACCUGCGUUGUAUUAGCUAGUUGGUGAGGUAACGGCUCACCGAGGCAACGAUACAUAGCCGACCUGAGAGGGUGAUCGGCCACACUGGGACUGAGACACGGCCCAGACUCCUACGGGAGGCAGCAGUAGGGAAUCUUCGGCAAUGGACGGAAGUCUGACCGAGCAACGCCGCGUGAGUGAAGAAGGUUUUCGGAUCGUAAAGCUCUGUUGUAAGAGAAGAACGAGUGUGAGAGUGGAAAGUUCACACUGUGACGGUAUCUUACCAGAAAGGGACGGCUAACUACGUGCCAGCAGCCGCGGUAAUACGUAGGUCCCGAGCGUUGUCCGGAUUUAUUGGGCGUAAAGCGAGCGCAGGCGGUUAGAUAAGUCUGAAGUUAAAGGCUGUGGCUUAACCAUAGUACGCUUUGGAAACUGUUUAACUUGAGUGCAAGAGGGGAGAGUGGAAUUCCAUGUGUAGCGGUGAAAUGCGUAGAUAUAUGGAGGAACACCGGUGGCGAAAGCGGCUCUCUGGCUUGUAACUGACGCUGAGGCUCGAAAGCGUGGGGAGCAAACAGG
This 763-nucleotide ribosomal RNA is filed under the name uncultured Streptococcus sp. Its description in RNAcentral is "bacterial SSU rRNA". It matches the Rfam family "Bacterial small subunit ribosomal RNA", at positions 28 to 776 of the family's 1533-position model. The record is from RNAcentral. Lineage: Bacteria; Bacillati; Bacillota; Bacilli; Lactobacillales; Streptococcaceae.